This is a long non-coding RNA of Vicia villosa (hairy vetch), 660 nucleotides long. RefSeq lists it as uncharacterized. The record is from RefSeq and is a predicted model, not a curated record. Lineage: Eukaryota; Viridiplantae; Streptophyta; Magnoliopsida; Fabales; Fabaceae. The transcript is spliced from 2 exons.
UGAGAACGAAAAAAAGCUCUCCCUCCUCUCUCGUAUUUCUCUGCGAAACAACGAUAACAAACAAAAACAAGGAGAACUCUCAGCCUCUCUCGAUCUCGUCUCGUCUCUCGAAUCGUUCGCUCUCUCUUGCUCUUGCGGUGAAGAUUCAAAUAACAACAUUAAAACGCCACUCUCUCUCGAUGCAACUCUGUCUCGGUCUCACCCGCUCGCUCACGUUAUUCUCUCGUGAUUUCUCAUCAACGAGAACAACACAGCAAUCAAUAAUGAGUUCAAGCAACAAGCCCUUAACCCUUUGCAACCCAAUAUCCCAAUAAUUUCGUUCAGAUCAGUUAUAGAUUACAACAAAGUACAAGCAUUAACCAGAAAUUUGAAGCAAGAUAAAUGAUAACCUAAACAAGUAUGAGUCAGGAACGAUGGAGAUCUGUCAAGCUUCAACUUCAAUGGCAAUUUUCGAGUUAUUGCAUGGCUAUUUUGGUGAAAAUUGUGGCUUAUGAAGCAGGCUUUGGACUAUUAUGGAAGCGUAGCAGCAAGUGGAGCAGAGGCGAGGCAUGAAGAAAGUGAAGACCUUUUUUUGUUUAAUUUCUGUACUAUUUUUUCAUGUAAAAUGGGCUUCUAACUAAAUGGGCCUAGACUAAUAAAAACUCUCUCCUUUUUUUGUUA